CUUAAAAUCUAGCUUUACUGUAUCCCAUGCAUCUCUAAACUAUUGCCCUCUUAUAAAACAUUUAAACAUCUUAGUACAGGAGAUUGAAAAAUUACUAAACGCUUCAGACAAAGUACCGCAAGGGAAAAAUGAAAUAAAAAUGAAAUAACCUUAUGCCCCAAACAGCAGAGACAUCCCCUCGUACCUUUUGCAUCAUGGUCCGGCCAGUCUAACCAAGCAAAAUGAAACCUUAAGUUUGACACCCCGAAACUAAGCGAGCUACUUCAAAACAGCCCAAGGGCCAACCCGUCUCUGUUGCAAAAGAGUGGGAAGAUUUUCAAGUAGAGGUGAUAAACCUACCGAGCUUAGAGAUAGCUGGUUGUUCAGGAAAAGAGUUUAAGCUCUACCCUAAGUUUCUAUGUUACACCUAGCACCCUCCUAAACUUAAGAGCUAUUCAAAUAAGGUACAGCUUAUUUGAAACAGGACACAACCUCCUACACCGGGUAAGCAAGAUUCACCUAAACAAAGUGGGCCUAAAAGCAGCCACCUUUAAAAAAGCGUUAAAGCUUAACUUUCUCCAUCUACAAUCCCACAAUUUAUCCUUAACCCUUCAUCCCUACUGAACCCUUUUAUAUCUAUAUAAAAAUUAUUAUGCUUGAACUAGUAACAAGAAACAGCCUUUCUCCAAGAUGUAAAUAUAUGUUAAAACGGACCCUCCAUUAACACUUAACGCGAAUGCAAAUUUAUAACAACCCCACCCACUAGAAAAUCCUAUAUCCUCAUGCGUUAACCCUACACCAGAACAUCACAGGAAAGAUUAAAAGAAAAAGAAGGAACUCGGCAAGUCCUAACCCCGCCUGUUUACCAAAAACAUCGCCUCUUGAUAAACAUAAGAGGUCCAGCCUGCCCAGUGACAAUAUUCAACGGCCGCGGUACCCUAACCGUGCAAAGGUAGCAUAAUCACUUGUUCUUUAAAUAAGGACUAGUAUCAACGGCAUCACGAGGGUUACACUGUCUCCUUUUUCUAAUCAGUGAAACUGAUCUCCCCGUGAAGAAGCGGGGAUGAGAUUAUAAGACGAGAAGACCCCAUGGAGCUUAAAACUCAAUAUACACCCCUUUACACAUAAACCAACUCACCCAAGACACCUGUAUAUUAGCUUUAGGUUGGGGGGACCGCGGAGCAUAAUUAAACCUCCACGACAAACGGGCCACGCCCUUAUCCACGAAUUACCCCUCUAAGAAUCAGUAGACUGAUGUUUUAUGACCCAAUAUUUGAUCAACGAACUAAGUUACCCUGGGGAUAACAGCGCAAUCUACUUAAAGAGCCCCUAUCGACAAGUAGGUUUACGACCUCGAUGUUGGAUCAGGGUAUCCCAGUAGUGCAGCCGCUAA
This 1372-nucleotide ribosomal RNA is filed under the name Abavorana luctuosa (mahogany frog). Its description in RNAcentral is "partial 16S ribosomal RNA". It matches the Rfam family "Bacterial large subunit ribosomal RNA", at positions 384 to 2568 of the family's 2925-position model. The record is from RNAcentral. Lineage: Eukaryota; Metazoa; Chordata; Amphibia; Anura; Ranidae.